UACUGAAAUUUUAACUCAUAGCCCAAAA
Molecule: non-coding RNA, 28 nt
Filed under: Rattus norvegicus (Norway rat)
Lineage: Eukaryota; Metazoa; Chordata; Mammalia; Rodentia; Muridae
Source: RNAcentral